GCACUCACGCAGGGGAGUCCCGCCCAGGGGACUGAGAGGCUGACAGGGGGAACCCCGGUGAUGCGACCCUUAGAACCUGACCCAGUUGAUACUGGCGUAGGAAGCUAGUCACCUGAAUCU
This 120-nucleotide non-coding RNA is filed under the name Roseovarius indicus. Its description in RNAcentral is "TPP sequence". It matches the Rfam family "TPP riboswitch aptamer (THI element)". Rfam says of the family: Vitamin B(1) in its active form thiamin pyrophosphate (TPP) is an essential coenzyme that is synthesised by coupling of pyrimidine and thiazole moieties in bacteria. The previously detected thiamin-regulatory element, thi box was extended, resulting in a new, highly conserved RNA secondary structure, the THI element, which is widely distributed in eubacteria and also occurs in some archaea. Analysis of operon structures identified a large number of new candidate thiamin-regulated genes, mostly transporters, in various prokaryotic organisms. Lineage: Bacteria; Pseudomonadati; Pseudomonadota; Alphaproteobacteria; Rhodobacterales; Roseobacteraceae. The record is from Rfam by way of RNAcentral.